Molecule: transfer RNA, 73 nt
Filed under: Enterocytozoon bieneusi H348
Lineage: Eukaryota; Fungi; Microsporidia; Enterocytozoonidae
Description: tRNA-Und (NNN) (tRNA-Und-NNN-1-1)
Rfam family: tRNA
About the family: Transfer RNA (tRNA) molecules are approximately 80 nucleotides in length. Their secondary structure includes four short double-helical elements and three loops (D, anti-codon, and T loops).
Source: Rfam by way of RNAcentral
GGUUAAGUGGCGCAAUAGGUUAGCGCGUCCGACUGUUUAAUCGGAGGUUAUGGGGUCGAUCCCCAUCUGACCG